This 339-nucleotide unclassified non-coding RNA is filed under the name soil metagenome. Its description in RNAcentral is "partial contains 5.8S ribosomal RNA, internal transcribed spacer 2, and large subunit ribosomal RNA". The stretch from base 1 to 120 matches the Rfam family "5.8S ribosomal RNA", at positions 35 to 154 of the family's 154-position model. The record is from RNAcentral.
GAUGAAGAACGCAUCGAAAUGCGAUAAGUAGUGUGAAUUGCAGAAUUCAGUGAAUCAUCGAAUCUUUGAACGCACAUUGCGCCCCUUGGUAUUCCAUGGGGCAUGCCUGUUCGAGCGUCAUUUGUACCCUCAAGCUUUGCUUGGUGAUGGGUGUUUGUUCCGCUGCAACGCGUGAACUCGCCUCAAAUCAAUUGGCAGCCGGCAGUCUGGUGUUUGAGCGCAGCACAUUUUGCGCUCUUCGCUGUGUAUUGCGGGCGUCCAUGAAGCCUAUAUUUUCGCGCUUGACCUCGGAUCAGGUAGGGAUACCCGCUGAACUUAAGCAUAUCAAUAAGCGGAGGA